RNAcentral lists this ribosomal RNA (321 nucleotides) under Triticum aestivum (bread wheat). RNAcentral describes it as "partial small subunit ribosomal RNA". Lineage: Eukaryota; Viridiplantae; Streptophyta; Magnoliopsida; Poales; Poaceae. The record is from RNAcentral.
AUGCCUUUCGAAGUUCAUCAAGAUUCUGAUUGGUGGUUUGCUAGAGUACCGCUCAUGCAUUUUUGGAUUGUGGAGUUCCACUAUCCACAUAAGUGCUUAGGAGGCCUAAAUGAACCUAUCACAUAUCCUCGAGAUAGCAUCGAAUGAACCGGCUACAUGCCUAGCGGCCCGCCAUUGGCUCACAUUAGCCUACGUGAGAUAAAGAAUGCUGCAUGGGGGAUCAAAUGUGCUACUACUACUGGAUGCAAGAAGAUAGGAAGAUCUAUAUUGAGGUCUUGUGUAGGAAACCUGAUGGAUCUGAAAAUGGAGCCUAGGCUAUGA